CGAUAACGAACGAGACCUUAACCUGCUAACUAGUUGCGGGUACGUGAGUAUCCGCACACUUCUUAGAGGGACUGACUACGCUUAGUAGUCGGAAGUUUGAGGCAAUAACAGGUCUGUGAUGCCCUUAGAUGUUCUGGGCUGCACGCGCGCUACACUGACAAAGUCAGCGAGUACUACCUUGGCCGAGAGGCCUGGGAAAUCUUGUGAAACUUUGUCGUGCUGGGGAUAGAUCAUUGCAAUUAUUGAUCUUGAACGAGGAAUUCCUAGUAAGCGCAAGUCAUCAGCUUGCGUUGAUUACGUCCCUGCCCUUUGUACACACCGCCCGUCGCUACUACCGAUUGAAUGGCU
RNAcentral lists this ribosomal RNA (348 nucleotides) under uncultured eukaryote. RNAcentral's name for it is "SSU rRNA". It matches the Rfam family "Eukaryotic small subunit ribosomal RNA", at positions 1326 to 1698 of the family's 1831-position model. The record is from RNAcentral.